GACGAACGCUGGCGGCGUGCUUAACACAUGCAAGUCGAACGGAAAGGCCCUGCUUUUGUGGGGUGCUCGAGUGGCGAACGGGUGAGUAACACGUGAGUAACCUGCCCUUGACUUUGGGAUAACUUCAGGAAACUGGGGCUAAUACCGGAUAGGAGCUCCUGCUGCAUGGUGGGGGUUGGAAAGUUUCGGCGGUUGGGGAUGGACUCGCGGCUUAUCAGCUUGUUGGUGGGGUAGUGGCUUACCAAGGCUUUGACGGGUAGCCGGCCUGAGAGGGUGACCGGCCACAUUGGGACUGAGGUACGGCCCAGACUCCUACGGGAGGCAACAGUGGGGAAUAUUGCACAAUGGGCGGAAGCCUGAUGCAGCAACGCCGCGUGCGGGAUGACGGCCCUCGGGGUGUAAACCGCUUUCGCCUGUGACGAAGCGGGAGUGACGGUAAUGGGUAAAGAAGCACCGGCUAACUACGUG
RNAcentral lists this ribosomal RNA (468 nucleotides) under uncultured bacterium. RNAcentral describes it as "partial 16S ribosomal RNA". It matches the Rfam family "Bacterial small subunit ribosomal RNA", at positions 28 to 507 of the family's 1533-position model. The record is from RNAcentral.